UACGGGGGGGGCAAGCGUUGUUCGGAAUUACUGGGCGUAAAGCGUGCGCAGGCGGUUCGUUGUGUCGGCGGUGAAAGCCCCGGGCUCAACCUGGGAAUGGCCGUUGAAACUGGCGAACUGGAGUGUGGCAGAGGGGGGUGGAAUUCCGCGUGUAGCAGUGAAAUGCGUAGAGAUGCGGAGGAACACCGAUGGCGAAGGCAGCCCCCUGGGCUGACACUGACGCUCAGGCACGAAGGCUAGGGGAGCGAACGGG
This 253-nucleotide ribosomal RNA is filed under the name uncultured bacterium. RNAcentral's name for it is "partial 16S ribosomal RNA". It matches the Rfam family "Bacterial small subunit ribosomal RNA", at positions 524 to 776 of the family's 1533-position model. The record is from RNAcentral.